Molecule: ribosomal RNA, 432 nt
Filed under: uncultured bacterium
Lineage: Bacteria
Description: partial 16S ribosomal RNA
Rfam family: Bacterial small subunit ribosomal RNA
Source: RNAcentral
AACGAACGCUGGCGGCAUGCCUAACACAUGCAAGUCGAACGGGACCUUCGGGUCUAGUGGCGCACGGGUGCGUAACGCGUGGGAACCUGCCCGUAGGUUCGGAAUAACUCCCCGAAAGGGGUGCUAAUACCGGUUAAUGUCUUCGGACCAAAGAUUUAUCGCCUGUGGAUGGGCCCGCGUUGGAUUAGCUAGUUGGUAGGGUAAAAGCCUACCAAGGCGACGAUCCAUAGCUGGUCUGAGAGGAUGAUCAGCCACACUGGGACUGAGACACGGCCCAGACUGCUACGGGAGGCAGCAGUGGGUAAUAUUGGACAAUGGGCGAAAGCCUGAUCCAGCAAUGCCGCGUGAGUGAUGAAGGCGUUAGGGUUGUAAAGCUCUUUUACCCGGGAUGAUAAUGACAGUACCGGGAGAAUAAGCUCCGGCUAACUCCGU